AAAGGAAUAGACGGGGGCCCGCACAAGCGGUGGAGUAUGUGGUUUAAUUCGACGCAACGCGAAGAACCUUACCAGGCCUUGACAUGGGGAUAAAUGUCCUAGAGAUAGGAAGAUAGCUAUAUCCCACACAGGUGGUGCAUGGUUGUCGUCAGCUCGUGUCGUGAGAUGUUGGGUUAAGUCCCGCAACGAGCGCAACCCUUGUCUUCAGUUACCAGCAUUGAGUUGGGGACUCUGGAGAGACUGCCGGUGACAAACCGGAGGAAGGUGGGGAUGACGUCAAAUCAUCAUGCCCCUUAUGGCCUGGGCUACACACGUACUACAAUGGCGGCUACAAAGAGCGGCGAGCAUGUGAAUGCAAGCGAAUCUCGGAAAGGUCGUCUCAGUUCGGAUUGAAGUCUGCAACUCGACUUCAUGAAGUCGGAAUCGCUAGUAAUCGCGGAUCAGCAUGCCGCGGUGAAUACGUUCUCGGGCCUUGUACACACCGCCCGU
This 489-nucleotide ribosomal RNA is filed under the name uncultured bacterium. RNAcentral's name for it is "bacterial SSU rRNA". It matches the Rfam family "Bacterial small subunit ribosomal RNA", at positions 903 to 1397 of the family's 1533-position model. The record is from RNAcentral.